CCCAGGGUGUGGUGGAGGAUGGCUGCAGGUCGGGUCGGUGACGGAGGCCAGGCGGGGCAGAGAGGCAGACCUCUGCACGUCCCCAGCUCCAGCCACACCUGUGCAUGUGGGACCGUGUGGCCUUCUGGUUCAUCAGGUGCAAAGACGAUUGGCUACUGGCUGUGGCAAAGCUUGCCCACCCUGGGUAGGAUGGGUAGGAUGGGAGAAGGAGAGGACAGGUGCCCGGCCUGGGGGGCUGGACCUUGGCGGUACCACAGGCCCCUCCUGGCGCUCCUCCCCUGGACCCCCCUCCACUCUGGGGCCCUCUGCUCGUCCUGCCCUCUGCCCCUGUACUGUCACCCAGGUUUAGGCUUGACCUGGUGAUUUGUCCCUGUAACCAGCUCCUGUCUCAGCUCACUGACCCUCCUACCUGUCCUCCUCUGUCCUGCUGCCUCCUUGGCCUCGAGACCAAGACCAUGGGACCAGGAGGGGUCGAACAGUCGGUGGCAGUGGCAGGACACCCGGGUUGCUGUUUGUUUGCGACUUUAAAGAGCACAGUGUGACAGCCCCACACCCAGGUCCUCCAGAAAACGUGGGAAUGGUGUACAGUGUGCGUGUGUGUGGAUAGUGUGCACAUGUGGUGUGUGCACGGUGGCUGCCCUGUGUAGGUUGUGUGCGUGUGUGCCUGUGUGUGUGUGUGUAUGGGCUGUGCGUGUUGUAAUGUGUAUGUGGGUGUGUGUGUGAGCGUGUGCAAAUGGAUGGCUGUGGUCUGCACAGCAGGACUGGCUGGGCUCAGAAUCCAAUGUGCCCCUGGCUAGGACCUGGUGACCUCCCAUGAGGUGGCCUGUCCCAGUUACAGCACAGCUGCCUGUCCCCAGCUGGUGGGGACUUGGGCAUUGUGAGGCCCCUCUGCUGGUGGUCACUCCUCUUCAAUCUCAGAACUGCCUUCUGAGUGUGACUGCAGGGAAGUGACCUUGGCUUCGAUCCCCAGGGGCCCCAACUUCUGGAUUUCUGGGGCUGGACGGCUGGACGGGGCAUGCCCCAUGCUGCUGCCUCUGUGGGUGCAGGUGUGUGGGGGCCAAGGGAAAGCCCAGUGCUCAGGCUGCCCAGGUGUGUGGGGGCCACGGGAGGGCUCUGUGCUCAUCGGAAGUCCAGUGCUCAGGCUGCCCAGGUGUGUGGGGGCCACGGGAGAGCCCAGUGCUCAGGCUGCCCAGGUUUGUGGGGGCCACGGGAGAGCCCAGUGCUCAGGCUGCCUUUCUCCUAGUCCGUAAAUUGUCAGUGGCAAAUAGAGUUCCAACAGGCACCUGGGGAGCUGGGCGCAGUCUGGCUGGUUUUAUUGAAGGUUUAUGAGUGAUGGCAGAGCAGUUACCAGCAGGUUUAUGGAGGUGUCGGGGGAUGGCGUAGAAGGUGUCCCUGGCGCCCUCCCCGAUUGUUCUGAGCCCCCCCCCCCCCAGGCCAGCCGCUGUGCUGAAAGCCGAGAGCCUGCACCAGGCGCGGGACGCACUCUGCGCUCCUCAGGGAAAGGCCGAGCUGCGGGUCUUCCUCCCACUGUGCUUUUCCCCCUCUGGUGUCCUUGGCACUCCCCGUGGAGCAGGUGGCUCCUGGCUGGAGACACCGUGGGAGCUCGCCGAGGCUCUCUGCUACACAGCAGGGUUCUGCUCGUCACUGCGUAUUUUGGAACUGAGGUGUCUGAUUUGGGCGGUCGCUCAGAGCUCCCCCGACGCUGGAGGCUGUGCGGUUCUCAGAGGAGGCUCUCCUGGGGAGGGCUGGUCCUCAGACUGGGGGCGCCAGCCUCGGGUUGGGAGGGACGGCCGCUGGACCAGGCUCAGUCACGGGCCAUGAGGACCAGAUCUUGCGGCCUUACCUGGGCCACGGGCACAAUGCGGUGGGCCUGGCAGAGGCCUUGUGAGGGCCAAACGCCACAGCAGAUGCCAAGGGCCUGGCAUGUCAUAAGCACUGGCAGGGUGGCACGGCAGGAACGAUACUGGCCGAGGCCCUGAGGCUGGGGAGGGUCUCGCCUAGAGCCCUACCCAGGGAGGUGCUCUGGGGGUCCCGAAUCCUCCAAGCCCUGUGCUUCUGCCUCUGUCGCUGCCUUUCCUUCCCCUCUUGCCCACGGUGAUGGCGACGGGAGGGCAGCAGCCCCCAUGCCUCCCCUCGCCGACCCCUCUCUGGGCCGCGGCACAAUCAC
This 2167-nucleotide long non-coding RNA is filed under the name Marmota monax (woodchuck). Lineage: Eukaryota; Metazoa; Chordata; Mammalia; Rodentia; Sciuridae. The record is from RNAcentral.